This 253-nucleotide ribosomal RNA is filed under the name uncultured bacterium. Its description in RNAcentral is "partial 16S ribosomal RNA". It matches the Rfam family "Bacterial small subunit ribosomal RNA", at positions 524 to 776 of the family's 1533-position model. The record is from RNAcentral.
UACGUAGGGUCCGAGCGUUGUCCGGAAUUACUGGGCGUAAAGAGCUCGUAGGUGGUUUGUCGCGUUGUCCGUGAAAACUCACAGCUCAACUGUGGGCGUGCGGGCGAUACGGGCAGACUGGAGUACUGCAGGGGAGACUGGAAUUCCUGGUGUAGCGGUGGAAUGCGCAGAUAUCAGGAGGAACACCGGUGGCGAAGGCGGGUCUCUGGGCAGUAACUGACGCUGAGGAGCGAAAGCGUGGGUAGCAAACAGG